Molecule: ribosomal RNA, 793 nt
Filed under: uncultured bacterium
Lineage: Bacteria
Description: bacterial SSU rRNA
Rfam family: Bacterial small subunit ribosomal RNA
Source: RNAcentral
AGAGUUUGAUCCUGGCUCAGAUUGAACGCUGGCGGCAGGCCUAACACAUGCAAGUCGAGCGGAUGAAGAGAGCUUGCUCUCUGAUUCAGCGGCGGACGGGUGAGUAAUGCCUAGGAAUCUGCCUGGUAGUGGGGGACAACGUCUCGAAAGGGACGCUAAUACCGCAUACGUCCUACGGGAGAAAGCAGGGGACCUUCGGGCCUUGCGCUAUCAGAUGAGCCUAGGUCGGAUUAGCUAGUUGGUGAGGUAAUGGCUCACCAAGGCGACGAUCCGUAACUGGUCUGAGAGGAUGAUCAGUCACACUGGAACUGAGACACGGUCCAGACUCCUACGGGAGGCAGCAGUGGGGAAUAUUGGACAAUGGGCGAAAGCCUGAUCCAGCCAUGCCGCGUGUGUGAAGAAGGCCUUCGGGUUGUAAAGCACUUUAAGCGAGGAGGAAGGUUCGUUACUUAAUACGUAACGGAAUUGACGUUACUCGCAGAAUAAGCACCGGCUAACUCUGUGCCAGCAGCCGCGGUAAUACAGAGGGUGCAAGCGUUAAUCGGAAUUACUGGGCGUAAAGCGUGCGCAGGCGGUUUUGUAAGUCAGAUGUGAAAGCCCCGGGCUCAACCUGGGAACUGCGUUUGAAACUACAAGGCUAGAGUGUAGCAGAGGGGGGUAGAAUUCCACGUGUAGCAGUGAAAUGCGUAGAGAUGUGGAGGAAUACCGAUGGCGAAGGCAGCCCCCUGGGUUAACACUGACGCUCAUGUACGAAAGCGUGGGGAGCAAACAGGAUUAGAUACCCUGGUAGUCC